AUUGCACUAGGGUUUCAGCUUCUUCACUACGCUUCCACCUCCCUCAUUCACAUUCUGCCUGCCUCCAUGAAGAAACCCUAGCCGCCUCCCUACGAAGGAACACCACGAAAAAACUCACAAUUGGGGGAAGAAAUUUUAGGGUUUGUUAAAGGAGAUGGUCAGAACUUAGAACGACGACAAUGGAUUGGAAUUUAGGGUUCUUCGAUCUCGGUUUUAGGGUUUCGUGUUAACCAGGUAACUUCCUGGUCUGACUCAUUUGUGUUUCGUCAGGAUCCA
Long non-coding RNA from Helianthus annuus (common sunflower), 276 nucleotides. RefSeq lists it as uncharacterized. The transcript has 3 exons. Lineage: Eukaryota; Viridiplantae; Streptophyta; Magnoliopsida; Asterales; Asteraceae. The record is from RefSeq and is a predicted model, not a curated record.